UACGUAGGGACCGAGCGUUGUCCGGAAUCAUUGGGCGUAAAGAGCGUGUAGGCGGCUAUUUAAGUCCUGCGUGAAAUCCUGCGGCUCAACCGCAGACGGUCGUGGGAAACUGGAUGGCUAGAGUGCGGGAGAGGAGAGUGGAAUUCCCGGUGUAGCGGUGAAAUGCGUAGAGAUCGGGAGGAACAUCAGUGGCGAAGGCGGCCAUCUGGGACAACACUGACGCUGAAGCACGAAAGCGUGGGGAGCAAACAGG
Molecule: ribosomal RNA, 253 nt
Filed under: uncultured bacterium
Lineage: Bacteria
Description: partial 16S ribosomal RNA
Rfam family: Bacterial small subunit ribosomal RNA
Source: RNAcentral